This 859-nucleotide long non-coding RNA is filed under the name Scleropages formosus (Asian bonytongue). RNAcentral's name for it is "lncRNA (ENSSFOG00015026703.1)". Lineage: Eukaryota; Metazoa; Chordata; Actinopteri; Osteoglossiformes; Osteoglossidae. The record is from RNAcentral.
CUACUACUAUGUCUCUUGAUCCUUUCUUCAGCACUCUGUAUCGCUGUGUGGCGAGUGCUCUGUAAAAAUUAAUUUAAUUUGAUUUGAACUGAGCUGAGCUGAAGUGGCACUGUGGCGUGGUGGGUUUGAGCAGUGCCCGCUGUGUGGUGGGUCUAGGGUUCGAUGCCUGCUUGGUUGCCUUCCGACAAACCGGUGUCCACCCAGGGUGCGUCCUGUCCUCUCCCCCUUCGGCCUUGCGCUCCGCGUUGCCUGGUUAGGCUCCAGUUUGCCGUGACCCUGCUUUGGGACAAGUGAUUGUAAAGGUUGGCUGAACUGAAUUGAAAUAGAGCAGGAGCUCUCUGUUUCUAACAUGUCCCUCUUUUGUUUUUUUAUUGUUAUAAGCUGGUGCUGCUCACCUGUGUUUAUGGCAGUGAGAAAACCAGAGCCACUACACAAGCAGAUGCAAAAGUCCCCCAAGGGCACCGGUGCCAUGUCCAGCGACAGCCAGGAGCUCAGCAGCAGUGGCAAAGGGUCAGAGCUGCACAAGCAGAGGGCAAAACGCCACAGACGGGGAAAGAGCGCGAGGAGCUCAGACGCUGGCGAGGAGCGGAUGUCGACUGGAGCGGAGCAACCGGCCCCUGAUCGGUCCUCGCAUCAACUCGGAGAAAAAGCUGAGGCUCCCGCUGUGGAUCUGCGAAGCGCUCAUCAGAAGAAGUCCAGGAGCCCAAAGACGCACUUGGCCAUGCAGAAGGAGAAGGGGGAGAUGGAGAACGGCCAAAAUUGGGUUAGUCUGACUGGCAUCUCCGAUGGACGAAGUGCAGAAAAACAAAGCUGUUUUCAUGCAAGUGGUGAGUAUGGAAGUGCACCAUGUUUUUACAGC